RNAcentral lists this ribosomal RNA (1017 nucleotides) under Cladonia corsicana. RNAcentral's name for it is "partial large subunit ribosomal RNA". The stretch from base 82 to 514 matches the Rfam family "Bacterial large subunit ribosomal RNA", at positions 860 to 1231 of the family's 2925-position model. The record is from RNAcentral. Lineage: Eukaryota; Fungi; Ascomycota; Lecanoromycetes; Lecanorales; Cladoniaceae.
AAGGUACAGAAUUGUGAUCUCAUGCAACCAGUAUUUAUUUAUAUAUUAAUAAAAAAAGAACAACUUGUUUGUGUACUCAUACUAGGUUAUCCUACGUAAGUAUUCACGCAUGUUUAUCUUUUUAGGUUAAUUUAUAAUAUUAACAAAAAUAUACUUUUUGUGGACAUUGGGGGGUCGUGAAGACUCUAUCAGUGAGUAUUUGUUCUCGGAAGGACUAGAUAUGUAUAUUGAAUAAUCGGACAUAGUACGAUAAGGUUGUAUGUCUAAAGGGAAAUAGCCCAGAACAAGAGUUAAUAAGGUUCCAAAAUUUUUGUUAAGUGAAAUUAAGGCAGUAUUUAUCCCAAUCGGCCAGGGAAUAGGCUUAGAAGCGGCCAUUUUUUGAAGACCUCGUAACAGAGCACUGGUUUUAUAUUUUAUGGAUAAAAGCACCGAAAAUUUAACGGAUCUAAACAAAAUACCGACACCUUGUCCAUAUAUAUUAAUGUGUAUAUUAUAUAUUGUAUAUAUGGGGUAGCGGAACAUUGGGCGUGAAACAGUCAUUUUUAAUCCUUUAUAAGGAUUAAAUUGCCUAGAGUUUUUUAUUAAUUUCUAGACUAAAUAAGCCCAAGUGAUAAUGCUGACAUGAGUAACGAUAAAGGAUCAUUAAUACAUAAAAUAUUAGAGAAUCCUCGCCUAAAGCUUAUGGAAUUUAUUAAAGUUACGGCCUCUAAGUUUAUUUUUUUGUCUUAGCUUCCGAUUAUUUAUAUAUAGUAUAUAUUUAAUAUCUACGUCUAAAUAGUCGAGAGUUAUGACAGAUUACCUAAUGGUAUAGACGAUGAGAAAACCUAGAGUUUACAGUAAUUAACGUUUUUUAUUUACGUAUUAACUGAAACUCCGCUUAUUCCAUUGAAUUGUUAUUUUAAUAAUCUAUUCUUAAAGGAAAAACGGAAGAUCUUUACUAAUAUUUUAAGUAAAUUAUGUGAAAAAUGUUCUGGAAAACUGUAAGCUCCGUAAGUAAUAUAAAAAAAGUAAAACAAA